UUUGUAUUUAAAACUUUGAAA
Molecule: non-coding RNA, 21 nt
Filed under: Caenorhabditis elegans
Lineage: Eukaryota; Metazoa; Nematoda; Chromadorea; Rhabditida; Rhabditidae
Source: RNAcentral